GGGAAAAGCGUUCCUGUUAGUUGGACGAGGAGCUGUUUGGCUGAGGCAGUUUCCUCAAGAGUAAAGGCGGGCCUGUGCUAGGGUCACGCCACCGGCCUCCGUUUUCUUUACCCUUCUCUGUCACCAAACGAUAUUCCUGUCCAGUUACAAAGUGCAAGUUGUUUCCCUCAGGGAGUGCUCUUCAGAUCAAUACCUCUGGAAAAUGAGCUUCAGUGCAUUCCCAGCAAAGACUUCAAACAAUCCCACAGCUGAGGUGGAGUAACAGAGACCAGACUUAACCUUCCCAGCUAAAACAACUAAAAAAACAAGGAAAAAUACAUGAAAGAAUGGUUCUCCAGCCACUGAACAUCACACAGUGAAAGACAGUGAUUGCUGAGAGGUGAGAAACAAACAAGCUUACAAUCUGAAGGUGUCCGUUCCUACACUGGUCAGACCACUGUCCUUGGGGCAGCUGGGG
Molecule: long non-coding RNA, 457 nt
Organism: Neogale vison (American mink)
Lineage: Eukaryota; Metazoa; Chordata; Mammalia; Carnivora; Mustelidae
Exons: 4
Source: RefSeq, a predicted model, not a curated record